CUGAGAAGUGUCAAUGGGGCCACUUUACCUUGAAUGAGCCCUUAAAAUAUGUGCUAACUACUUAUGCUAAACGAUCUGUUUGACCUUGUGUUUAGCUG
Long non-coding RNA from Gopherus evgoodei (Goodes thornscrub tortoise), 98 nucleotides. RefSeq lists it as uncharacterized. The transcript is spliced from 3 exons. The record is from RefSeq and is a predicted model, not a curated record. NCBI's taxonomy places the organism in Eukaryota, Metazoa, Chordata, Testudines, Testudinidae.